UCGAUUUGGAGUUUGUUGCCCUGAGUGAUGGGCUCCGAAGCUAACGCGAUAAGUCGACCGCCUGGGGAGUACGGCCGCAAGGUUAAAACUCAAAUGAAUUGACGGGGGCCCGCACAAGCGGUGGAGCAUGUGGUUUAAUUCGAUGCAACGCGAAGAACCUUACCUGGUCUUGACAUCCACAGAAUCUUGCAGAGAUGCGAGAGUGCCUUCGGGAACUGUGAGACAGGUGCUGCAUGGCUGUCGUCAGCUCGUGUUGUGAAAUGUUGGGUUAAGUCCCGCAACGAGCGCAACCCUUAUCCUUUGUUGCCAGCGGUUUGGCCGGGAACUCAAAGGAGACUGCCGUUGAUAAAGCGGAGGAAGGUGGGGACGACGUCAAGUCAUCAUGGCCCUUACGACCAGGGCUACACACGUGCUACAAUGGCGUAUACAAAGGGAGGCGACCUCGCGAGAGCAAGCGGACCUCACAAAGUACGUCUAAGUCCGGAUUGGAGUCUGCAACUCGACUCCAUGAAGUCGGAAUCGCUAGUAAUCGUGAAUCAGAAUGUCACGGUGAAUACGUUCCCGGGCCU
Molecule: ribosomal RNA, 569 nt
Filed under: uncultured Gammaproteobacteria bacterium
Lineage: Bacteria; Pseudomonadati; Pseudomonadota; Gammaproteobacteria
Description: bacterial SSU rRNA
Rfam family: Bacterial small subunit ribosomal RNA
Source: RNAcentral